CUACGGGGGGCUGCAGUGGGGAAUAUUGGACAAUGGGGGAAACCCUGAUCCAGCAAUGCCGCGUGUGUGAAGAAGGCCUGCGGGUUGUAAAGCACUUUCGGUUGGGAGGACUGCUUCUAGCACUAAUAUUGUUGGAAGUUGACGUUACCUUCAGAAGAAGCACCGGCUACCUCCGUGCCAGCAGCCGCGGUAAUACGGAGGGUGCAAGCGUGUAAUCGGAAUUACUGGGCGUAAAGCGCGCGUAGGCGGCUAGAUCAGUCGGGUGUGAAAGCCCCGGGCUUAACCUGGGAACUGCAUCCGAUACUGUCUAGCUUGAGGACAGGAGAGGAGGGUGGAAUUCCACAUGUAGCGGUGAAAUGCGUAGAUAUGUGGAGGAACACCAAUGGCGAAGGCAGCUCUCUGGCCUGAUACUGACGCUGAGGUGCGAAAGUGUGGGGAGCAAACAGGAUUAGAUACCCUAGUAGUC
This 466-nucleotide ribosomal RNA is filed under the name uncultured bacterium. RNAcentral describes it as "partial 16S ribosomal RNA". It matches the Rfam family "Bacterial small subunit ribosomal RNA", at positions 339 to 795 of the family's 1533-position model. The record is from RNAcentral.